Non-coding RNA from Ictidomys tridecemlineatus (thirteen-lined ground squirrel), 72 nucleotides. Lineage: Eukaryota; Metazoa; Chordata; Mammalia; Rodentia; Sciuridae. The record is from Rfam.
GGACAUAUAGCUCAGUGGUAGAGUGAUUGCCUAGCAUACAUGAGACCUUAGGUUCAAUUCCUAGUAUCUCCA